UACGUAGGUGGCAAGCGUUGUCCGGAUUUACUGGGCGUAAAGGGCGUGCAGGCGGUCUGUUAAGUGCAGGGUGAAAGCUCCCGGCUCAACUGGGAGAGGUCCUUGCAUACUGGCGGACUUGAGGGGGGUAGAGGAAAGUGGAAUUCCCGGUGUAGUGGUGAUAUGCGUAGAUAUCGGGAGGAACACCUGUGGCGAAGGCGGCCCCCUGGUUGGAUACUGACGCUGAUACGCGAAAGCGUGGGGAGCAAACAGG
RNAcentral lists this ribosomal RNA (253 nucleotides) under uncultured bacterium. RNAcentral's name for it is "partial 16S ribosomal RNA". It matches the Rfam family "Bacterial small subunit ribosomal RNA", at positions 524 to 776 of the family's 1533-position model. The record is from RNAcentral.